Molecule: ribosomal RNA, 301 nt
Filed under: uncultured bacterium
Lineage: Bacteria
Description: partial 16S ribosomal RNA
Rfam family: Bacterial small subunit ribosomal RNA
Source: RNAcentral
CAGCAGCCGCGGUAAUACGUAGGUGGCAAGCGUUGUCCGGAAUUAUUGGGCGUAAAGGGCUCGCAGGCGGUUUCUUAAGUCUGAUGUGAAAGCCCCCGGCUCAACCGGGGAGGGUCAUUGGAAACUGGGAAACUUGAGUGCAGAAGAGGAGAGUGGAAUUCCACGUGUAGCGGUGAAAUGCGUAGAGAUGUGGAGGAACACCAGUGGCGAAGGCGACUCUCUGGUCUGUAACUGACGCUGAGGAGCGAAAGCGUGGGGAGCGAACAGGUUUAGAUACCCGUGUAGUCCCUGUCUCUUAUCC